GCAUUUGGAGAGCCAUGCGAAAGAAAGAGAGAGCAAGUUCAAUACUGCGCAGUUAUCUUAAAUAGUCUACCUUAUGUUCUUCAGUUAAAUGUACCAUGCCAUUUUAGGUGCGUACAUUUUGGCAAUUGAGUCAAGAACGUCGAGAGACCAACACGGAAAAGUUUUAAAAGUAAUCAUGAACGUGAAAGUGAAAAUGUGUGAAACUCCGGAUAGGUUGCUAAACCUGCUGAAAGAGUUUCAACUUGAAAAAGUGCGCGACUAUCUAAUCGAUUGAAAUUGACAUUCAAAUGCUCUAUCCUGGCAAAGGUCAUUUGCUUUUGUCGAAGUGGGAAGAAUUCAAAGUCAAAAUUUUGACUCAUUACUCAACCCACCUUCGUAACGACUUUUGUAAACAACAACUGGCAGUAGCAAAGUCGUCUACAAAUAAAGAUCUCCAAGACUUCCUUGUAUCGAUAUUAUUAAAUGGUGUUUUGCCUUGUGGUUCGCGCUUUAAAAAUAGCGAAAACUGCAAAACUACAAAAAAAACGGAUGAUUGCGGAUUCCCAGGAGUCUUUCGUACUUCAAAUACGUACUUCUUUCGUACCCUGAACAAUAUACGCCCUAAGAUAGACGAACUAGUGAAUAAGUUCUAUUUAAAAAAGAAUCCUUGCAGCCAUUUCUUAUAAUAGAAGGCAAUACUUAUGAUGUAAAGGCAUUUUUUGUUUUUUGUGACCAAAAUUUGCUUAAGUUUGAUUCGUUUAUACAAAGCCUUGAUGUGUGCUUUAAAAUUUUUCAGCUACUUAACUUAGAAUACCCAAAAGCUUGUGAACAAAUAUGGUUGUUUAUUAUUAUUAAACAAAGAAAAAACAUAUGUAAGAGUUAAAAGUCUUUAAAUAUAUUUAGUAUUCUUAUUCACAUUGUACUUUAAGUAAUAAAUAAUUAUAUAUAAGCCUAUAACUAAACUUAAAAAUAAAACC
Molecule: long non-coding RNA, 956 nt
Organism: Drosophila rhopaloa
Lineage: Eukaryota; Metazoa; Arthropoda; Insecta; Diptera; Drosophilidae
Exons: 3
Source: RefSeq, a predicted model, not a curated record